Molecule: unclassified non-coding RNA, 206 nt
Filed under: uncultured Gymnopilus
Lineage: Eukaryota; Fungi; Basidiomycota; Agaricomycetes; Agaricales; Cortinariaceae
Description: sequence contains ITS2
Source: RNAcentral
AAUUCUCAACCUUACUAGCUUUUGCUAUGUAAUGGCUUGGAUGUGGGGGUAUUUUGCUGGUUUCGAAAGAAAUCUGCUCCCCUCAAAUGUAUUAGCCGGUGCCCCGCGUGGACCGUCUAUUGGUGUGAUAAUUAUCUACGCCGUUAGACGUCUGCUUUAAAUGGGAUGCGCUGCUUCUAAUCGUCCAUUUUGGACAAUUAAUGACU